Molecule: ribosomal RNA, 292 nt
Filed under: uncultured bacterium
Lineage: Bacteria
Description: partial 16S ribosomal RNA
Rfam family: Bacterial small subunit ribosomal RNA
Source: RNAcentral
GUGUCAGCCGCCGCGGUAAGACAGAGGGUGCAAACGUUGCUCGGAAUUACUGGGCGUAAAGCGCGUGUAGGCGGACCAACAAGUCGGACGUGAAAGCCCUGGGCUCAACCCAGGAACUGCAUCCGAAACUGUUGGUCUGGAGUGGUGGAGAGGGAAGCAGAAUUCCUGGUGUAGAGGUGAAAUUCGUAGAUAUCAGGAGGAACACCGGUGGCGAAGGCGGCUUCCUGGACACUUACUGACGCUGAGACGCGAAAGCGUGGGGAGCAAACAGGAUUAGAAACCCCCGUAGUCC